GGGGUACUCGAGUGGCGAACGGGUGAGUAACACGUGGGUGAUCUGCCCUGCACUUUGGGAUAAGCCUGGGAAACUGGGUCUAAUACCGGAUAUACCUCGCUGGUCGCAUGGCCUGGUGGGGGAAAGCUUUUGCGGUGUGGGAUGGGCCCGCGGCCUAUCAGCUUGUUGGUGAGGUUAUGGCUUACCAAGGCGACGACGGGUAGCCGGCCUGAGAGGGUGACCGGCCACACUGGGACUGAGAUACGGCCCAGACUCCUACGGGAGGCAGCAGUGGGGAAUAUUGCACAAUGGGCGCAAGCCUGAUGCAGCGACGCCGCGUGGGGGAUGACGGCCUUCGGGUUGUAAACCUCUUUCAGUGCCGACGAAGCGUAAGUGACGGUAGGCACAGAAGAAGGACCGGCCAACUACGUGCCAGCAGCCGCGGUAAUACGUAGGGUCCGAGCGUUGUCCGGAAUUACUGGGCGUAAAGAGCUCGUAGGUGGUUUGUCGCGUUGUCCGUGAAAACUCACAGCUUAACUGUGGGCGUGCGGGCGAUACGGGCAGACUUGAGUACUGCAGGGGAGACUGGAAUUCCUGGUGUAGCGGUGGAAUGCGCAGAUAUCAGGAGGAACACCGGUGGCGAAGGCGGGUCUCUGGGCAGUAACUGACGCUGAGGAGCGAAAGCGUGGGGAGCGAACAGGAUUAGAUACCCUGGUAGUCCACGCCGUAAACGGUGGGUACUAGGUGUGGGUUUCCUUCCUUGGGAUCCGUGCCGUAGCUAACGCAUUAAGUACCCCGCCUGGGGAGUACGGCCGCAAGGCUAAAACUCAAAGAAAUUGACGGGGGCCCGCACAAGCGGCGGAGCAUGUGGAUUAAUUCGAUGCAACGCGAAGAACCUUACCUGGGUUUGACAUGCACAGGACGCUGGCAGAGAUGUCGGUUCCCUUGUGGCCUGUGUGCAGGUGGUGCAUGGCUGUCGUCAGCUCGUGUCGUGA
This 974-nucleotide ribosomal RNA is filed under the name Mycolicibacterium flavescens. Its description in RNAcentral is "bacterial SSU rRNA". It matches the Rfam family "Bacterial small subunit ribosomal RNA", at positions 84 to 1070 of the family's 1533-position model. The record is from RNAcentral. Lineage: Bacteria; Bacillati; Actinomycetota; Actinomycetes; Mycobacteriales; Mycobacteriaceae.